ACGGAGCGAUUCUUAUCGCGCUGGGGUUAUCCUGGUACGGUUGGCAUCGUGCGGAUGCCCUGUUUGCGUUAGGUAUCGGCAUCUAUAUUUUGUAUAGCGCGUUGCGUAUGGGGUAUGAGGCGGUGCAGUCAUUAUUGGAUCGCGCGCUGCCCGAUGCGGAACGACAGGAAAUUAUUGAUAUCGUGACGUCAUGGCCGGGAGUCAGCGGCGCGCACGAUCUCCGCACGCGGCAGUCAGGGCCGACUCGCUUUAUUCAGAUUCAUUUGGAAAUGGAAGAUAAUCUGCCGCUCGUUCAGGCGCAUUUUGUGGCUGACCAGGUAGAGCAGGCGAUUUUACAGCGUUUUCCGGGUUCAGAUGUCAUUAUUCAUCAGGAUCCCUGUUCAGUCGUUCCCAGGGAAGGCAGGAAGUUCGAGCUUGUAUAAUUGAUUGUUAAAAAGUGAGCCAGGCCAGCAUUUUGUGUAUAAAUUACCGCCAUUUGGCCUGACCUGAAUCAAUUCAGCAGGAAGGGAUUGUUAUACUAUCUGUAUAUUCGUUGGAUCGUUUCGAAGUGCGAAAUCGGCUUCCGGCAAUAGAUUUCAUUUUGCAUUCCAAAGUUCAGAGGUAGUCAUGAUUAAGAAAAUCGGUGUGUUGACAAGCGGCGGUGAUGCGCCGGGCAUGAACGCGGCAAUCCGCGGUGUUGUGCGCGCAGCGUUGACGGAAGGGCUGGAAGUCAUGGGCAUUUAUGACGGCUAUCUGGGCCUGUAUGAAGAUCGUAUGGUUCAGCUUGACCGUUACAGCGUAUCUGACAUGAUCAACCGUGGCGGUACUUUCCUCGGUUCUGCCCGUUUCCCGGAAUUCCGUGACGAAAAUAUUCGCGCUGUCGCGAUCGAAAACCUGAAAAAACGCGGUAUCGAUGCGCUGGUAGUUAUUGGCGGCGACGGUUCUUAUAUGGGUGCAAAACGUCUGACUGAAAUGGGCUUCCCGUGCAUCGGUCUGCCAGGCACUAUCGAUAACGACAUCAAAGGCACCGACUACACUAUCGGCUAUUUCACUGCUCUCGGCACUGUAGUGGAAGCGAUUGACCGUCUGCGUGACACCUCCUCUUCUCACCAGCGUAUCUCUAUCGUUGAGGUGAUGGGCCGUUAUUGCGGCGACCUGACGUUGGCGGCGGCUAUUGCUGGCGGCUGUGAGUUUAUCGUGGUGCCGGAAGUUGAAUUUAAUCGCGAAGAUCUGGUGGCCGAAAUCAAAGCCGGGAUCGCGAAAGGGAAAAAACACGCUAUCGUCGCUAUUACUGAGCAUAUGUGCGAUGUUGACGAACUGGCGCACUUUAUUGAAAAAGAAACGGGCCGUGAGACGCGUGCGACGGUGCUCGGCCACAUUCAGCGCGGUGGUUCCCCGGUACCUUACGAUCGCAUUCUGGCUUCCCGUAUGGGCGCGUAUGCUAUUGACCUGCUGCUGGAAGGCCAUGGCGGUCGUUGUGUCGGUAUCCAGAACGAGCAGCUUGUUCAUCAUGACAUCAUCGAUGCGAUUGAAAACAUGAAGCGUCCGUUCAAAAGCGACUGG
RNAcentral lists this ribosomal RNA (1542 nucleotides) under Salmonella sp. FORC89. RNAcentral's name for it is "Small Subunit Ribosomal RNA". Lineage: Bacteria; Pseudomonadati; Pseudomonadota; Gammaproteobacteria; Enterobacterales; Enterobacteriaceae. The record is from RNAcentral.